UCGAUUGCUUAAAAAAGUUUGCCACGA
Molecule: small RNA, 27 nt
Filed under: Bombyx mori (domestic silkworm)
Lineage: Eukaryota; Metazoa; Arthropoda; Insecta; Lepidoptera; Bombycidae
Description: ovarian small RNA-28523
Source: RNAcentral